UAGGGAAUCUUCCACAAUGGACGCAAGUCUGAUGGAGCAACGCCGCGUGAGUGAAGAAGGCUUUCGGAUCGUAAAGCUCUGUCGUGGGUGAAGAAGGAUAGAGGCAGUAACUGGUCUUUAUUUGACGGUAAUCAACCAGAAAGUCACGGCUAACUACGUGCCAGCAGCCGCGGUAAUACGUAGGUGGCAAGCGUUGUCCGGAUUUAUUGGGCGUAAAGCGAGCGCAGGCGGAAUGAUAAGUCUGAUGUGAAAGCCCACGGCUCAACCGUGGAACUGCAUCGGAAACUGUCAUUCUUGAGUGCAGAAGAGGAGAGUGGAAUUCCAUGUGUAGCGGUGGAAUGCGUAGAUAUAUGGAAGAACACCAGUGGCGAAGGCGGCUCUCUGGUCUGCAACUGACGCUGAGACUCGAAAGCAUGGGUAGCGAACAGG
RNAcentral lists this ribosomal RNA (429 nucleotides) under bacterium. RNAcentral describes it as "partial 16S ribosomal RNA". It matches the Rfam family "Bacterial small subunit ribosomal RNA", at positions 355 to 776 of the family's 1533-position model. The record is from RNAcentral.